UGUCUCAAAUAUCAGAACUUGAUGCAUCGGCUAUCAAUUUUCAUAUUGACAUCUUCUGUGUAAAGGAACAUUGUC
Molecule: long non-coding RNA, 75 nt
Organism: Octopus sinensis (East Asian common octopus)
Lineage: Eukaryota; Metazoa; Mollusca; Cephalopoda; Octopoda; Octopodidae
Exons: 3
Source: RefSeq, a predicted model, not a curated record